Molecule: ribosomal RNA, 253 nt
Filed under: uncultured bacterium
Lineage: Bacteria
Description: partial 16S ribosomal RNA
Rfam family: Bacterial small subunit ribosomal RNA
Source: RNAcentral
UACAGAGGGUGCGAGCGUUGUCCGGAAUCACUGGGCGUAAAGGGCGCGUAGGCGGCUCAGUAAGGUUGCGGUGAAAGCCCGGGGCUCAACCCCGGGUCGGCCGUGGCAACUGCUGGGCUGGAGCACUGUAGAGGCAGGUGGAAUUCCGGGUGUAGCGGUGGAAUGCGUAGAGAUCCGGAAGAACACCGGUGGCGAAGGCGGCCAACUGGACGAAUACUGACGCUGAGACACGAAAGCGUGGGGAGCAAACAGG